Molecule: ribosomal RNA, 1959 nt
Filed under: Triticum aestivum (bread wheat)
Lineage: Eukaryota; Viridiplantae; Streptophyta; Magnoliopsida; Poales; Poaceae
Description: partial small subunit ribosomal RNA
Source: RNAcentral
AUGGCUGUUCGCAUGUUUAGGACAAAAGUGGGUUCAUUUCAGCAUCAUGUACGUGGAUGUGUUGCUUUCAGCACGGAGCGACCAAAACUUGUUACAGUGGGAAUCGACUUUGGAUGCAAAAAUUCAAGAGUUGCAAUAAUAGACUCCUUGGUUCCACAUGUUGUUGACAGUGAAAUUGGCCGUUUCACACCAUCGUAUGUCACAUUUACACAACAGAAUUCAUAUCUACCAUAUAAAUGGAGUCUACAACACUUGGACCCUGUUGGUAACUGUGUUGCAGUUGGAGAACUGGCAAAGCGUAGAAUGUGGAGACAACCUUCAGAUGUUGUUUAUAACAUAAAAAGUUUGAUAGGAAAGCAAUUUCAGGAUCCCUCUGUCCAAGAAAUGAGGAGAAGGGUCCAUUUCAGCAUUAUUGAAGGACCUGGAGGAGAAGCUUGGGUGGGAAUUUGUGGAAUGGAGUUUUCUCCUGUUUGUAUCGCAACUGCAAUCUUCCAAAAACUGAAGCAUAUUGUUCUGAUGGACCAGUUUCAUGAUGAGCUGCAGGCAGUGAUAAGUGUGCCUGCUUUCUUUGAUGAACUGCAGAAGGAGCACAUAAAGUCAGCUGCACACAGAGCAGGCUUCAAGCUAUUGCAACUAAUAGAUGAACCAAUAGCUGCUGCGCUUUCUAGCAUAACAACUGAAGAUGGUAUUGUUGUUGUUUUUGGCAUGGGUGCCGGGUCUUAUAGUGUCACAAUCCUUCGUGUGUCUCCUGACAGAAAAAUUGAGAUCAGAACUCAAUUUGCUGACACCUCUGUCGGUGGGGAUCAGUUUGAUGACAAACUCGUGGAUUUUAUUGGUCGACAAAUACUUGAAGGUCAUUCAGUUGACAUUCGUGGAGAUAUAUAUGCUAUGAAAAUGGUUGCAGAAGCGGUGGAGCAAGCUAAGGUUGAAUUAUCAAGCAAGCCUGCGGUUACAGUUUCAGUCCCUUCCUUCAGCACAUCUGUCCCAGGACCUGUUGAUCUUAACAUUAAAAUUUCUCGCCCGCUGUUUGAGAAGUUGGUCAAGGACUUGCUAGGACAAAUUAAAGUCAAGUGUCAGAGUAUUUUGGAAGAUGCUAAGGUAUCUACCGAGGAUAUCAAGGAAAUCGUAUUGUUUGGGGGGAUGACCAGAGUUCCGAAGAUACAGGGAAUCAUUUGUGAAGUCUUUGGUCAGAACCUGAACACUAAGGUGAACCCUGAAGAAGCUGUUGUUGUAGGAUCUGCGAUUCAAGCUGCUCUCAUUCUAGAAGAUGAACAAGAGAUUAGUGAUGAUAUGAUUCCGCUCUCUAUUGGAUUUGAGUCCUCAAAAGGAAUUUUUACCAAAGUGAUUCCAAGACACAGCACCCUUCCAAUAAAACGGACAGUAAAGAUUCCUACUUGGUUGGAUUAUGGCGAGCGCAAGUGUAUCAGAAUAUUUUUCGGGGAGCAUGUGAUGGUUCAGCAUAAUAUCCUAUUGGGUGAGACACAGGUAAUCAAUAAUAGAGGCUCAUUUCAAGGUUGUGUUUAUUUUGAACUGACAUUGGAAGUUGACAAGGAUUAUGUGGUUAAAGUGAGAUGUGCUGGUGAUGAAGUGCCGUUGUCUUUCCCCAUAAACCCAAAGGACAGAUUGAAAGAGAACGUGGACAAGGCUGUCAAAAGGGCUCUACUUGACUGGACAAUGACCGGUACAGAAAUCCGUGCUAGGUUAGGAAAUCUGUCAAAGCAUACAAUGAAUACCCUUGACGAUGUCUUGUCUGUGAGGAAGGAUGAACUUCCAGAAGACCUUUGUAAGGAAGCAUUGAAUGCAUUGGCUGAUUUGCAGAAAUUGUUGGAUGGAGAUCUCGAGAUGUUGAAGGCCAAGAUGCUCUCUGCUAAGUCAGUGGAAUCAAAAAUUCUAAACUGGCUGCCACCAUCAGAAUUGCGCGACAGUGACCAUGAAGAUUAUGAAUAUAGAGAUGCGUAG